AAUCAACGCUGGCGGCGUGCCUAACACAUGCAAGUCGAACGCGAAAGCCCCGCAAGGGGUAAGUAGAGUGGCAAACGGGUGAGUAACACGUGGGUGACCUGCCUUCGAGUGGGGGAUAACGUCCCGAAAGGGACGCUAAUACCGCAUGACAUCCUGCUUUUGAAAAAGCGGAGAUCAAAGCUGGGGAUCGCAAGACCUAGCGCUUGAAGAGGGGCCCGCGCCUGAUUAGCUAGUUGGUGAGGUAACGGCUCACCAAGGCGACGAUCAGUAUCCGGCCUGAGAGGGCGGACGGACACACUGGGACUGAGACACGGCCCAGACUCUUACGGGAGGCAGCAGUGGGGAAUUGUUCGCAAUGGGCGCAAGCCUGACGACGCAACGCCGCGUGGAGGACGAAGAUCUUCGGGUCGUAAACUCCUGUCGAGCGGGACGAACGCUUCGCGGAUGAAUAAUCCGCGGAAUUGACGGUACCGCUAAAGGAAGCCCCGGCUAACUCCGUG
RNAcentral lists this ribosomal RNA (500 nucleotides) under uncultured bacterium. RNAcentral's name for it is "partial 16S ribosomal RNA". It matches the Rfam family "Bacterial small subunit ribosomal RNA", at positions 32 to 507 of the family's 1533-position model. The record is from RNAcentral.